GCUUACACAUGCAGUCGACGGGAUCCAUCAGGCUUUGCUUGGUGGUGAGAGUGGCGAACGGGUGAGUAAUGCGUGACCGACCUGCCCCAUACACCGGAAUAGCUCCUGGAAACGGGUGGUAAUGCCGGAUGCUCCAGUUGAUCGCAUGGUCUUCUGGGAAAGCUUUCGCGGUAUGGGAUGGGGUCGCGUCCUAUCAGCUUGACGGCGGGGUAACGGCCCACCGUGGCUUCGACGGGUAGCCGGCCUGAGAGGGCGACCGGCCACAUUGGGACUGAGAUACGGCCCAGACUCCUACGGGAGGCAGCAGUGGGGAAUAUUGCACAAUGGGCGCAAGCCUGAUGCAGCGACGCCGCGUGAGGGAUGGAGGCCUUCGGGUUGUAAACCUCUUUUAUCGGGGAGCAAGCGAGAGUGAGUUUACCCGUUGAAUAAGCACCGGCUAACUACGUGCCAGCAGCCGCGGUAAAAU
RNAcentral lists this ribosomal RNA (466 nucleotides) under Bifidobacterium longum. RNAcentral's name for it is "bacterial SSU rRNA". It matches the Rfam family "Bacterial small subunit ribosomal RNA", at positions 46 to 526 of the family's 1533-position model. The record is from RNAcentral. Lineage: Bacteria; Bacillati; Actinomycetota; Actinomycetes; Bifidobacteriales; Bifidobacteriaceae.